RNAcentral lists this ribosomal RNA (1343 nucleotides) under uncultured bacterium. Its description in RNAcentral is "16S ribosomal RNA". It matches the Rfam family "Bacterial small subunit ribosomal RNA", at positions 28 to 1378 of the family's 1533-position model. The record is from RNAcentral.
GACGAACGCUGGCGGCGUGCUUAACACAUGCAAGUCGAACGGAAAGGCCCUGCUUUUGUGGGGUGCUCGAGUGGCGAACGGGUGAGUAACACGUGAGUAACCUGCCCUUGACUUUGGGAUAACUUCAGGAAACUGGGGCUAAUACCGGAUAGGAGCUCCUGCUGCAUGGUGGGGGUUGGAAAGUUUCGGCGGUUGGGGAUGGACUCGCGGCUUAUCAGCUUGUUGGUGGGGUAGUGGCUUACCAAGGCUUUGACGGGUAGCCGGCCUGAGAGGGUGACCGGCCACAUUGGGACUGAGAUACGGCCCAGACUCCUACGGGAAGCAGCAGUGGGGAAUAUUGCACAAUGGGCGGAAGCCUGAUGCAGCAACGCCGCGUGCGGGAUGACGGCCUUCGGGUUGUAAACCGCUUUCGCCCGUGACGAAGCGUGAGUGACGGUAAUGGGUAAAGAAGCACCGGCUAACUACGUGCCAGCAGCCGCGGUGAUACGUAGGGUGCGAGCGUUGUCCGGAUUUUAUUGGGCGUAAGGGCUCGUAGGUGGUUGAUCGCGUCGGAAGUGUAAUCUUGGGGCUUAACCCUGAGCGUGCUUUCGAUACGGGUUGACUUGAGGAAGGUAGGGGAGAAUGGAAUUCCUGGUGGAGCGGUGGAAUGCGCAGAUAUCAGGAGGAACACCAGUGGCGAAGGCGGUUCUCUGGGCCUUUCCUGACGCUGAGGAGCGAAAGCGUGGGGAGCGAACAGGCUUAGAUACCCUGGUAGUCCACGCUGUAAACGGUGGGUACUAGGUGUGGGGUCCAUUCCACGGGUUCCGUGCCGUAGCUAACGCUUUAAGUACCCCGCCUGGGGAGUACGGCCGCAAGGCUAAAACUCAAAGGAAUUGACGGGGCCCCGCACAAGCGGCGGAGCAUGCGGAUUAAUUCGAUGCAACGCGUAGAACCUUACCUGGGUUUGACAUGGAUCGGGAGUGCUCAGAGAUGGGUGUGCCUCUUUUGGGGUCGGUUCACAGGUGGUGCAUGGCUGUCGUCAGCUCGUGUCGUGAGAUGUUGGGUUAAGUCCCGCAACGAGCGCAACCCUUGUUCACUGUUGCCAGCACGUUAUGGUGGGGACUCAGUGGAGACCGCCGGGGUCAGCUCGGAGGAAGGUGGGGAUGACGUCAAGUCAUCAUGCCCCUUAUGUCCAGGGCUUCACGCAUGCUACAAUGGCUGGUACAGAGAGUGGCGAGCCUGUGAGGGUGAGCGAAUCUCGGAAAGCCGGUCUCAGUUCGGAUUGGGGUCUGCAACUCGACCUCAUGAAGUCGGAGUCGCUAGUAAUCGCAGAUCAGCAACGCUGCGGUGAAUACGUUCCCGGG